This 274-nucleotide ribosomal RNA is filed under the name uncultured bacterium. RNAcentral's name for it is "partial 16S ribosomal RNA". It matches the Rfam family "Bacterial small subunit ribosomal RNA", at positions 523 to 796 of the family's 1533-position model. The record is from RNAcentral.
AUACAGGGGGUGCGAGCGUUAAUCGGAAUUACUGGGCGUAAAGAGUACGUAGGCGGUUGCUUAAGUCAGAUGUGAAAGCCCCGGGCUCAACCUGGGAACUGCAUUUGAAACUGAGUGACUAGAGUUUAAGAGAGGGGAGUAGAAUUCCGGGUGUAGCGGUGAAAUGCGUAGAGAUCCGGAGGAAUACCAGUGGCGAAGGCGGCUCCCUGGCUUAAAACUGACGCUGAGGUACGAAAGCGUGGGUAGCAAACAGGAUUAGAUACCCGAGUAGUCC